GACGAACGCUGGCGGCGUGCCUAAUACAUGCAAGUCGAGCGGACUUUCAAGAAGCUUGCUUUUUGAAAGUUAGCGGCGGACGGGUGAGUAACACGUGGGCAACCUGCCUGCAAGACGGGGAUAACUCCGGGAAACCGGGGCUAAUACCGGAUAAUAUCUUCCUUCGCAUGAAGGAAGGUUGAAAGGCGGCGCAAGCUGCCGCUUGCAGAUGGGCCCGCGGCGCAUUAGCUAGUUGGUGAGGUAACGGCUCACCAAGGCGACGAUGCGUAGCCGACCUGAGAGGGGGAUCGGCCACACUGGGACUGAGACACGGCCCAGACGCCUACGGGAGGCAGCAGUAGGGAAUCUUCCGCAAUGGACGAAAGUCUGACGGAGCAACGCCGCGUGAGCGAAGAAGGGCUUCGGAUCGUAAAGCUCUGUUGUCAGGGAAGAACAAGUACCGUUCGAACAGGGCGGUACCUUGACGGUACCUGACCAGAAAGCCACGGCUAACUACGUG
This 499-nucleotide ribosomal RNA is filed under the name uncultured bacterium. RNAcentral describes it as "partial 16S ribosomal RNA". It matches the Rfam family "Bacterial small subunit ribosomal RNA", at positions 28 to 507 of the family's 1533-position model. The record is from RNAcentral.